AUAUCAAUAAGCGGAGGAAAAGAAACUAACAAGGAUUCCCCUAGUAACUGCGAGUGAAGCGGGAAAAGCUCAAAUUUAAAAUCUGGCGGUCUCCGGCCGUCCGAGUUGUAGUCUAGAGAAGUGUUAUCCGCGCUGGACCGUGUACAAGUCUCCUGGGAUGGAGCGUCAUAGAGGGUGAGAAUCCCGUCUUUGACAUGGACCGCCAGUGCUGAUGGUGCGCUCUCGAAGAGUCGAGUUGUUUGGGAAUGCAGCUCAAAAUGGGUGGUGAACUCCAUCUAAAGCUAAAUAUUGGCGAGAGACCGAUAGCGCACAAGUA
RNAcentral lists this ribosomal RNA (316 nucleotides) under uncultured Tricholomataceae. RNAcentral's name for it is "partial large subunit ribosomal RNA". It matches the Rfam family "Eukaryotic large subunit ribosomal RNA", at positions 40 to 350 of the family's 3401-position model. Lineage: Eukaryota; Fungi; Basidiomycota; Agaricomycetes; Agaricales; Tricholomataceae. The record is from RNAcentral.